GCAGUGGGAGCACCCUUUGGGGUGUGACUGCGUACCUUUUGUAUAAUGGGUCAGCGACUUAUAUUCUGUAGCAAGGUUAACCGAAUAGGGGAGCCGGAGGGAAACCGAGUCUUAAUUGGGCGUUAAGUUGCAGGGUAUAGACCCGAAACCCGGUGAUCUAGCCAUGGGCAGGUUGAAGGUUGGGUAACACUAACUGGAGGACCGAACCGACUAAUGUUGAAAAAUUAGCGGAUGACCUGUGGCUGGGGGUGAAAGGCCAAUCAAACCGGGAGAUAGCUGGUUCUCCCCGAAAGCUAUUUAGGUAGCGCCUCGUGAAUUCAUCUCCGGGGGUAGAGCACUGUUUCGGCUAGGGGGCCAUCCCGGCUUACCAACCCGAUGCAAACUGCGAAUACCGGAGAAUGUUAUCACGGGAGACACACGGCGGGUGCUAACGUCCGUCGUGAAGAGGGAAACAACCCAGACCGCCAGCUAAGGUCCCAAAGUCAUGGUUAAGUGGGAAACGAUGUGGGAAGGCCCAGACAGCCAGGAUGUUGGCUUAGAAGCAGCCAUCAUUUAAAGAAAGCGUAAUAGCUCACUGGUCGAGUCGGCCUGCGCGGAAGAUGUAACGGGGCUAAACCAU
This 619-nucleotide ribosomal RNA is filed under the name Salmonella enterica. RNAcentral describes it as "partial 23S ribosomal RNA". It matches the Rfam family "Bacterial large subunit ribosomal RNA", at positions 570 to 1190 of the family's 2925-position model. Lineage: Bacteria; Pseudomonadati; Pseudomonadota; Gammaproteobacteria; Enterobacterales; Enterobacteriaceae. RNAcentral also lists the same sequence under 1 other name. The record is from RNAcentral.